This 253-nucleotide ribosomal RNA is filed under the name uncultured bacterium. Its description in RNAcentral is "partial 16S ribosomal RNA". It matches the Rfam family "Bacterial small subunit ribosomal RNA", at positions 524 to 776 of the family's 1533-position model. The record is from RNAcentral.
UACGUAGGGUGCGAGCGUUGUCCGGAAUUAUUGGGCGUAAAGGGCUCGUAGGCGGUCUGUCACGUCGAAAGUGAAAACUCAGGGCUUAACCCUGAGCCUGCUUCCGAUACGGGCAGACUAGAGGUAUGCAGGGGAGAACGGAAUUCCUGGUGUAGCGGUGAAAUGCGCAGAUAUCAGGAGGAACACCGGUGGCGAAGGCGGUUCUCUGGGCAUUACCUGACACUGAGACACGAAGGCCAGGGGAGCAAACGGG